RNAcentral lists this ribosomal RNA (787 nucleotides) under uncultured bacterium. RNAcentral describes it as "bacterial SSU rRNA". It matches the Rfam family "Bacterial small subunit ribosomal RNA", at positions 8 to 796 of the family's 1533-position model. The record is from RNAcentral.
AGAGUUUGAUCCUGGCUCAGGACGAACGCUGGUGGCGUGCUUAACACAUGCAAGUCGAACGGAAAGGCCCUUUCGGGGGUACUGGAGUGGCGAACGGGUGAGUAACACGUGGGUGAUCUGCCCUGCACUUCGGGAUAAGCUUGGGAAACUGGGUCUAAUACCGGAUAGGACCAUGCCAUGCAUGUGGUGUGGUGGAAAGCUUUUGCGGUGUGGGAUGGGCCCGCGGCCUAUCAGCUUGUUGGUGGGGUGAUGGCCUACCAAGGCGACGACGGGUAGCCGGCCUGAGAGGGUGUCCGGCCACACUGGGACUGAGAUACGGCCCAGACUCCUACGGGAGGCAGCAGUGGGGAAUAUUGCACAAUGGGCGCAAGCCUGAUGCAGCGACGCCGCGUGGGGGAUGACGGCCUUCGGGUUGUAAACCUCUUUCACCAUCGGCGAAGCCCAUGAUUUUUGUUGUGGGUGACGGUAGGUGGAGAAGAAGCACCGGCCAACUACGUGCCAGCAGCCGCGGUAAUACGUAGGGUGCGAGCGUUGUCCGGAAUUACUGGGCGUAAAGAGCUCGUAGGUGGUUUGUCGCGUUGUCCGUGAAAUUCCCUGGCUUAACUGGGGGCGUGCGGGCGAUACGGGCAGACUGGAGUACUGCAGGGGAGACUGGAAUUCCUGGUGUAGCGGUGGAAUGCGCAGAUAUCAGGAGGAACACCGGUGGCGAAGGCGGGUCUCUGGGCAGUAACUGACGCUGAGGAGCGAAAGCGUGGGGAGCGAACAGGAUUAGAUACCCUGGUAGUCC